Molecule: ribosomal RNA, 510 nt
Filed under: uncultured bacterium
Lineage: Bacteria
Description: partial 16S ribosomal RNA
Rfam family: Bacterial small subunit ribosomal RNA
Source: RNAcentral
GACGAACGCUGGCGGCGUGCUUAACACAUGCAAGUCGAACGAAGAGCGACGGAAGCUUGCUUCUAUCAAUCUUAGUGGCGAACGGGUGAGUAACGCGUAAUCAACCUGCCCUUCAGAGGGGGACAACAGUUGGAAACGACUGCUAAUACCGCAUACGAUCUAAUCUCGGCAUCGAGGAUGGAUGAAAGGUGGCCUCUACAUGUAAGCUAUCACUGAAGGAGGGGAUUGCGUCUGAUUAGCUAGUUGGAGGGGUAACGGCCCACCAAGGCGAUGAGCAGUAGCCGGUCGGAGAGGAGGGACGGCCACAUUGGGACUGAGACACGGCCCAGGCUCCUACGGGAGGCAGCAGUGGGGAAUCUUCCGCAAUGGACGAAAGUCUGACGGAGCAACGCCGCGUGAGUGAUGACGGCCUUCGGGUUGUAAAGCUCUGUUAAUCGGGACGAAAGGCCUUCUUGCGAAUAGUGAGGAGGAUUGACGGUACCGGAAUAGAAAGCCACGGCUAACUACGUG